UCAGAUGGACUUCAACAAGUCCCAUAAACA
Molecule: transfer RNA, 30 nt
Filed under: Pseudochirops albertisii (D'Albertis' ringtail)
Lineage: Eukaryota; Metazoa; Chordata; Mammalia; Diprotodontia; Pseudocheiridae
Description: partial tRNA-Phe
Source: RNAcentral